GAGGAGGUGGAGUCAAGCUCCACCCUUUCUGGGAGCACAGCUAAAUUACUCUCACCUGUGCUCCCACAGCUGAACUGACACUUGCCUCAGCUGAUUAAUCAGAGAUUCAGGCUGUGAUUACCAAUUUCCCAUACAGUAUAAAAAGCUUGAAAGCUUCAGAACAAAUCUGGAAAACAGUCUUCCCCAAGAGGUAGAAACACAUGAUGAUGGCAAUGCAUCUGGCCAAAAGUAUGGCUUUGUUCUUCACAGUGAUAAAUGUCUUUCUUGGUCUACUUUGGCAGAAUGCAAGGCAGCCCUGCUAUCUCAUCAAAAGCCCAAACCCACUGGUGGGCUUCACAAGCAAUCAAAGGGAAAGAGUACUGAAGAACCUGAAGGAAUGAGGUCAACACUUUAGUAAAACUUCAGGUUGUGGCUUUGAAGGAAAGGGCUGAAAUAAACCUAAUUGGGGCAAAUACCUUAUUUGUAUC
This 467-nucleotide long non-coding RNA is filed under the name Coturnix japonica (Japanese quail). RNAcentral's name for it is "lncRNA (ENSCJPG00005004976.1)". The record is from RNAcentral. Lineage: Eukaryota; Metazoa; Chordata; Aves; Galliformes; Phasianidae.